UGGCGGGGGACAACCUUCCGAAAGGAUGGCUAAUACCGCAUAAGUCGUCGAGGUCUAUGACUUUGACGGGAAAGGGGGGUCGCAAGAUCUCUCACCAUGAGACGAGCCCGCGUCCCAUCAUGCUAGUUGGUGAGGUAAUGGCUCACCAAGGCUUAGACGGGUAGCUGGUCUGAGAGGAUGAUCAGCCACACUGGAACUGCGACACGGUCCAG
RNAcentral lists this ribosomal RNA (212 nucleotides) under uncultured bacterium. RNAcentral describes it as "partial 16S ribosomal RNA". It matches the Rfam family "Bacterial small subunit ribosomal RNA", at positions 134 to 334 of the family's 1533-position model. The record is from RNAcentral.